UCAAAAGCAAGUUUAAAACCUAUGCUAUCUGUGGGGCCAUUUGCAGGGUGGGUGAGUUAGACGACUCUAUUUCUCCGACUAACCAAGAACGAGGGCCUCGUCUCAAAGAACUUCUAACUGGAGAGGAUCCUGGAUGUGUACUAUUUGUCAUAAACAAAUAGUGACACCGCUCCCCCCCCCCCCCAAAACACCUGAACUCCUGGUAUCCUGGUUCUACCGUGUCCUCACUAUGUGACCAAAGGCGAGUUAUUCUGCCUGUCUGCUGUGUGAGUUUCUCUUCAUAGAAUGAGGACAGUUCCUAUAGCACGGGGAUGUAAUGAGGACUGGAUGUAAUGAUAGAGGUAAAGCAUCUGGCAUGUAGUUGAAGCUAAAUCUGUGUUUUCUUGCUGCUGUGAGGUCUCUGCUGUUCCAUUCCUUAUCAAAGCGAGUUGGUUCCAGUCACUUGCAUAGCGAGUUCCCCACAGCAUAAGCUCUUAAGACCGAAGCUUUGAUUGGAACUUGCAGGGCUGAGAUGCCUGUUUCAUGCAUAUGUUCAGGGUGAAUGGACCCUUGGGUAGUACAGUGUUCGGCAUUCCUAUUUACAACUUACCCGACCCUUCUUUCUGGUCUUGGGUUCAUGCUUGAAUUCUUUCAUUCAACAUCUGAAACUAAUUGACCUCCAAACUCAGGAGAAUGAUGAACUUUGUUAAAUUAAUCCCUGCUCUUCCUGACCCUAAAGCCGCUCCCAUGUGGAAUUUCCUGUGUGAGGAGUAGGCUUUGGGAAGUCAACAAGUUUUGUCCAGGUGGCUUUCUCUGUUCAUGACUCUGGAAUGAGUGUGGCUCAUCUCCAGAUUCACAGCCAUACCAGCCUCUCUGGAGAUUAUUUGCUUUUCUUUGAGAUUCCCCCUGGACCUCCUGAGUGAGUUUUGUGGAUAUCAUGUAGUUUAUGUUUUUUUUAUAGCUUUAUUGAGACAUACUUCACACAUUAUAUAUUCCACUUAUUUAAAAUGUAUCAUUCAGCCAUUUUAGCAUAUCCACAGUUGCACAACCAUCACUACAAUGAAUUUUAGAAUAUUUUCAUCCCCCCAAUAAAUGCUGUACCUGUUAGCAGUCACUCUCCUUUUCCCUCAACUCCUCCCUCCCCACCCACAAACCCUAGACAAACACUAAUAUACUCUUUGUCUCUCUAAAUUUUCAUAUUCUGGACAUUUCGUAUAAAUGGAAUUAUGCGAUGUAUGUAUGGCCUUUUGUGAUUGGCUUCUUUCACUUAGCAUAAUGUUUUCACCGUUUACCCAUGUUCUAGUAUGUAUCAAUGCUUAUUUUCUUUGUAUUGCUGAAUACUAUUUCAGCAUAUGGAUAUACCACAUUUUAUUCAUUCACCAGUUGAUGGCUAUUUGGGUUGUUCUACUUUUCGGCUGUUAAGAAUAAUUCUGUGAACAUUUGUGUGUAAGUUUUUGUGUGGACAUGUUUUCAUGUCUCUUGGGUAUAGAUGUAGGAGUGGAAUUGCUGAGUCAUGUAAUAGCUCUGGUCAUUUAGGGAACUGCUAGGGUGUCUUCCACUGGACAUAUUUUACAUUUCCACCAGCAGAGUAUGAAGGUUCCAAUGUCUCCACAUCCUCACCACCACUUAUCAUCCGUCUAUUUUGCAUGUGGUCAUUGCGGUGAGUGUGAAAUGGUAUCGCAUUGUCGUUCCUACUAGCUUAUGUUUUAAGUUAGACCACAUCAAACAUGCUUUCCGAAUCUAGCGACACCUCUCCACAGUUAUCCUCAUGUAACACGAUGACAAAGAAUGGCUAGAAUUUGAGGAGGGGGACACGAGACAGUGGCGGGUGGAGAAAGUGAGGGAGGUUAGGGUGUCGCGGGUCGUCCCUUUCUCCAUUCUCCUGCUGCUCCUAGCUUUGACUUCUGUUUUAGCCAGUAAAGGGCCUGACACAUAGUGGGUUAUUGCUGGAGAUGUCUGUUCUCUCCUAGCACCCACACCUUUGCAGGGUAGCCUUGCAGCUUCUCCUUUCAAGAGGUGGAAUCUAUUUCCUCACUCCUGACUGGCCCUCCUGACUCUAGACUUCACUCAUUCACUCCAGUCCAUUCUUCCUCCUCACUGUAGCCAGUGAUUUUUUUCCCUGUUUCAAGCCUGCUUGAAAUAUCCCUGCUUAAAAUUCUAAAACGGUUUUUCACUACCUUGCAAAGAAGUCCAUACCCCUUAAUGUGACAGUUGAGUCCCUGAGGGGGCUGACCCAACUGAUAUUUUCAGCCUCACCUAUCUUAACAGCUUGCACAUCCUCAGGGAUGCCAUGCUAUUUGCCAUUGCCUCUGCUUGGAACAUAACCCCCUCCCCGCCCUUUUGGCCAUCUUCUGCUCGUCUUUGAAAUUUCAGCGAGAUUUCACUUCCUGUAGGAAACCUCCCCUCACCCUAUCCUGAGACUGAAUUAGUGCUCCUGAGUAUGCCCAAAACGUCCUGACAAUUUGACCUUUCCCACAGCACUUUACAGUUUCUGCAGUUGUCUCCAUUGCGAGGCUGUGGGCAACUGGAGGGGCCCAGGGCUGGUUAAAUAUUUGGGAACUGACAGAAUAUCCGCCUGAAGCCCCGUGCUGUGAUUGUUCAUCUGUCCCAGCAAGCGUCUUGAGGGCUGUACAAUCGUCCCCAUGUUCAACACAGUGCGUGGCAUCUGAGCCUUUGUAGUCCGUGGAACAGCCAGAUGGUCACUGUAGGUAGAGGUUCUGAGCUGGGCAAGAGAGAGUGGACAACAGUGCUUACAGUUCAGUAUGCCGAAGGUACUGAAGCAGCCUCUCCAUACUAACUCCAAGCAAAUCAGAAGAGUGGCAACAACCCAGCGAGAGCCCAGGUUUUUCAGGAGAGCUAGCGCAUUGAAUUACAUUGGUUGCAAAUUCAUUUUCCUCUUCAGUUAUUGUUAAAACUUUGUCAUUAGGAUAUUUCAGAAGAGAAACAAGUUUUUGGUUUUCUCACCGACUAGCCUUGACAGUUGACAGUUCAACUCCAUAUAUUUGUCUGUAGUAGUGAUUCUUAAGGUUGUAAAAUUCCUAGUAUUGUCUAGCCCAGUAAUUCCUGCCUGGAUGCAUCAAAAUAGAAAUUCUGAUGCGAUAAAUCUGGUCUUGUGUUAAGUUAGAGGCCUGAAUCCUCAUAGUCUUUUCUUGAAAGCCUCCAGGGAUUGGGAGCUCAUGAAGUAAAAUGUAUCACAUUCCAAUUCUGGAUAGACAUUAGGAGAGUCUCCUUUAUAUUGAACUGAAAUCCCCCUGAAACUCUACACUUAGUGCUAGUUUGCCCCUAUGGAGUAUAAUUUGUCUUUGCACUUUUCCAUAUGUCAGUCCUUCAGCUCUGUAGAGGCUGAUCACCUCUGCCCCUUCCCCCCAACCCCCUUCCUAAUGUUUUCUCCUAGAGAAACCUCUCCUGUUCUCACACUAUACCUCACAGGAAUGAUCUCCAGGCCUACUGAGUUUUGUUUGUAAUUGCAUUAAAGAGCAGAGCACCAAAUGAGACAGUUCACCACAGCAUGGACUAACCAAUCAGGGGCUGAGAGAGGGCUUGCUCUCAUCCUAUUUCUUGCCAUUAUUUCUUUUGAUCUAGCCUGUGAUCACUUUUAAUUCACAGUGAAUUUGCAGUUGUCAUAGGGUGAGCUUAUUAUGAUUAACCCAAAGCCAGGUCUUUUCUCACCUGUAACUCAGCCCAUGUCUGCUAUAAAUCUAAGUAAUUGGCUUUUAUAAGCAACAGCUGGUGUUUGUCUUGUUAGAUUGUGUCUUUCCAGUCCAAACCAAUCCUUUCUAAGCAGGAAGCGAUAGGCUCAGAAGAGGGAGCUGUAGCAGCAGUACAGUACUUGGGGAACUAGGGCAAGGUUGGCUAUCUACUGCUGUUUCCCAGUUUAGGGAGCAGCUCCAUGUGGGUACUUAGUCAUUAGAGAACAGCCCAGACUGUCUGCAUUUCUUUAUCGUUUAUUUACUUAUUGAAAGAGCAUGCGUGCAUGUGAGAGCAGGGGAGGGGCAGAGAGAACCCCAAGCAGGCUCUGUGCUGUCAGCACAAAGCCCAACAAGGGGCUUAGUCUCACAAACUGUGAGAUCAUGACCUGAGCUGAAAUCAAGAGCCCACUUAACCGACUGAGCCACCCAGGUGUCCUAGACUGUCUGCAUUUCUAACAAAAUUGGAACUGCCUCCAUUUCUUCCUGUGUGUGGUACCCCCGACAUUGUGCUGAACAUGUUGCCUUCAUUAUCUCAUUUAGUCCCUGCAGCGGCCCAGAGCACAUCCUGCUGUGAAAUCUCUUCUAGUGAUUCUGGUGGUCUAGAAACAUCAGAUUCAUCUCAGGUUUUAGCCCAGAGAUUCUAAUUCAGUGGGAAUGACGUGGAGCCAGGAAAUUUACCCUUUUCAAGUAAUCCCAGUGAUCCAAUGCGUAUGUAUGUUUGGCAGUGACUGUUUUAAUUAGUGGCUUAGUUACUUGGCUCUCGAACAAGACAGCGUGGGUCUGAUUCAUCUUUCUCCCUCUAGAGCUUGCUGCAGCAGAAACCCUCAGGGAAGAUGGCCGAAUGAAAAUUCAGAUGCAUGGUUAAGAGUCAGGAGAGUGAAGAUGUCCAGUGUUGUGGGUCCUGAGCUUUCUGGAGGCCAGCCAGGGGGAUCUUCAGACCUCCACAGGGCUGCAUGACCACACAGGGACAACCCAGGACCAGCAGGAGCUGCAGGGAGCACAGAGGCUGACUCAGCAGAAGGAAGAACUUUCAUACUGACUCCCCUGAUGGGAGAGGAUUGCCCCAUCACAGCAAGUGGGCACAGACCUGAUGACUGUCUGGCAGGAAUUUUACAGAGCAGAUUCAUGCCAGGACUGGACUGUUGACUCCAAAGUCCCUACCAGCCCUGGAACAUGAAGUGACACCAGCUAGAGAUGCCUGGGUUUACCUGAGAGCAAGGUGGUCAGUGCACUGUUUUGGUUCAGGACGUAGGUCCUCCGGGUUGACGUGCCCCCUCCCCAAGAGCUGGAGAGCCCUGAGAAGUACAGAAUGGAUCCUGUACUGUGGAAAUGUGCCAGGAAACAAUCAGAGACUCCCAACAUGAAUUGUCAUUUGUGGAGGGAGUGGCUGUUACCUGACUCUGUCUUCAUGCACCAGUGUAGCACAAACAGCAGCUUUAUUGGUGAUGCUUGGGAAGCUGUGGCAGAGCCCAGCAUGCAGGCUGUGUGGGCUCAGACAGCUUCCAGCAGACAGGGGAUGAGGGGAUUAGCCUCAGUGGGCUCUGCUGCUUGGGGCACAUUGUCCCUUCUCAGUUCUUUGAGGCAAGUGUGCAGGAAGAGGGUUCAGCACUUCACAAACUGGUGGGUGACCUCGUAGAUUCCCACAGAUUCCUGAGCUUUUUCGUCAUAGUCAGUCCAGUCCUGUGGGGGAAAAUGGCCGUUAUUAGCCUCACGAGAUGGGACAGUGUGCACAGUGGUCACGAACUGGGACUUCAAACAUGUAUGACCCAGAACAGAGCCAGACUCCGUUUUGGGCAAGUCACUUAACUUCUCUGAGUCUCAGUUCUAUUAAAAGGGUGGGGGGGGGGGGGGGGGGGAGAACAGUAGCAGACCUCCAUCUUGAAAGAAUCAAAUGAGGAAACACAUGUAAAAGUAUUCAGCAUAGUACUGGGUGCAUAUAAGAGCUCAGUAAAUUUCAGUUACUGUUGUUAUUAGGUGCUAUGCAAACUGAAGUUUCUGUUCUUUUGAAGCCUGACCACAAGGCCUAUGUAAGACAGUAAUGUGGCCAGUAAUACAGUUGAUUCUUGUUAUUCAUGGUAGUUACAAUCUACAUAAUCACUACAAACACUGAAUUAGCAAACAGUGAACCACUAUUCCCAGGGAAAAUAUAAGGUUAGGUUCUCAGAAGCAUCUGAUCACAUUUUCUUCAAUCAAUAUAUAACCUUGUUUUGGGUAGGUUUUUGUUAAAAACAAACAAAAAAAAAAACACCUUAUUUAAUAUAUAUAGUUGAUUCAUUAAUAUUGAACUCCUAGCUGACAGCACUAUUACUCCUGCCUAAACAAAGCUGAUCUAACAUGCAUUUUCUCCAUGCAUUUUCACCCCAGACUUCUUGCUUGUGGAACACUAGACAGCACUUUAGUACUACACUUGGGGCCAUUUUAAACACCAAAAUCAUCAGCAAAAAAAACGUGGAGUCAGCUUUGUAUUGAUGAUCUUUGUUCACUAGAAGGGUAAUUCCCACCAGGUACCCUCCAGCACCCUGCAAGACCCCCUAAGUCCUGUACCUUCUCCUGAAGAUUAAUAUCACUGAAGACCGUCCCCGAUUCCACGCCCUCGGCAGCAAACCCAGCCUGUAGGUGACAGGACGGCAGCUGUUAGUCUGGGGAAAGGAGGCACCAGUCUGGCAUGUGAGGACAGAGAUGCAGCGGGGGCACCUGCUCUAGAAUAACUACUGCACUUCCAGGGCCUGGCAGCUGCCCCAGGAGUAUAGUAGUUCCUCCAAACUAGAGCCUUGGACCAGAGGCAGGAGGUGUGGGGUAAACCUUUGCAUUACCCAGUUUUCUGAGAUCCUAGGCACGUCACUCCCCUAUCUGGACCUGAGUCAUAUUGUUUAUGAAAUGGGGAUGACAAGACUGUCUCAUCUCCCUGCCUCACAGAUUUGUUGUGAGGUCAAAAUGCUGCACAACUAAAGUGGGAUAAGCACUGGCUCUGGAGUCUGACAGACCUGGGUUCAAAUAACAGUACCAGUGUUUAUGAACUCUGUCACCCUGGGCAAGUUGCAAAAUCUGAAAUUCUUUCCUUGUCUGAAAGAUAGGGUGAAUAACUUCACAAGGUCACUGUGAGGAUUAAACGAAGUAACACGUAAAAGUGACCAGAACGUGCCCAUCAUAUGGUAGGCACUUAAUAAAUAACAAUUAUUAUUCUGAGAAGGAAGUCCUAGUCCAUGGUCUCUGCAUGUCGCUUUCUAUAUGCCCUCCCCAAAGAUACAGGUUCCCUGGGAAGAUACACGCACCUGAGGCUGGAAAUCAACUGGUUCAAGGCCCCGACACUCAAACUCUACAAUUGUCUUGAACUUCUCAUUGUCUUCAGCCUAGAAAGGAAUGUGUUGAGGGGGCAGGCCCAACUGGGCCCUUAGGAUGAUCCCACUGCCCCUGCUCUUCCUGCCAAGUGGGCCCAACUGCCCUUGUGAGCCCAGAAUGGGACUCAGGAGCAACCCAUUCCCUUCUGGAAGAAGUCUGCACUGGUCACCUGCUCCCCAUGAGACCUUCUUGUACACAGAUGCUGUAGAAGAAACACUGUGGGUUCUACAGUCAGCCUGCCUGGAUAUGAGCUCAGACAGAGCUCUGCCUUCUGCCUCUCUUCCCAUCUAAGAUGGUCAGACUGGGCUGAAGAAACCACUGCAGGUUUGUUGUGAGAAUCUGAACUAUGUGUAAAGUGCCCAGCUAUAGUCCCUGACUAUGCUCAAUAAAUAAAAUUCUCAAAAAAUAUGAA
This is a long non-coding RNA of Felis catus (domestic cat), 7419 nucleotides long. RefSeq lists it as uncharacterized. NCBI's taxonomy places the organism in Eukaryota, Metazoa, Chordata, Mammalia, Carnivora, Felidae. The transcript has 2 exons. The record is from RefSeq and is a predicted model, not a curated record.